Heterocephalus glaber (naked mole-rat) is the source of this 1256-nucleotide non-coding RNA. NCBI's taxonomy places the organism in Eukaryota, Metazoa, Chordata, Mammalia, Rodentia, Bathyergidae. The record is from RefSeq and is a predicted model, not a curated record.
CUGUCAUGCCAUAACAAGGAUCCGCUGCUAUGCUGCUCUGCUCUGGAGGCAGCUGACUAUGGACUGAAACCUCUAGAAACUAAAAAUGCUUCCUGAUGCAGUGUUAAGGACUGAAUGGAGGGAGGUGAGCCAGGCAGUAAGAAGAACAGAAAGAUGUUGGCAGUGUGCCAGCCAUGAGAUGUGUAGCCACCAGCCUGCAGCCAAAAAGUAAUUUGGACCCUGAGAUGUGAUGGAUAGAUUCACUGUCCCUGACCCCGGUUAUACAAAGAAUGGCUUUGUCAGGGUCAACUUUGUGGUCUGUACAUGACUGAAAUCUUUCACCAGAAUGAACUGCAACUCACAUUGGCUACUCCAAGUCUGGCCACCAUGGGUGGAUUUCAACGCUGUUCUCACUAAUUGGAAUAGGAGAACAAAUCUGUCUGAAAUGAUCCAUACCUACCUCUGGAUGUCUAGGACCACACAUGCUAUUCCAUGAUAGCUGACAGAGCACUGGAAAGUCGAGGAGGACUUAUCCAAUGGGAAGAUAAUUGGCAGCUGAACAAUGAUGAACUUCUAAGCUAUUGGCCUUCUGGAUGAUCUACAGCCAGUGUAGUACUGUUGAGAAUAUAGGUAGUUCUUGUACAAAGAAAAGAUCAAACAAGAUGGCGUCUGCAAUCUGGGCAGUACAGAUGCUCCUUUAUGGUGAUUUGAUUUAUGACUUUAAUAGGACAUAGCCCCAGUCCUAAGUGAAGGAGCUUCUGUACAAGAUCUAUCUUUGAACUGAUAGUGGGUGAGGUAAGAAUCCUCACUCUCAGAGACCAACCAUGAUUGUUUUAGUGCAACCUACAUGGGGUAAGGUAUGCAUGUGUCAGUAAAUCUUUCAUAUACAAACAGGCAUCAUGUAUUCUCUCUCCCCAAAGUUCUAGGAUUCAUGUAUGUAGCUCGGCACUUUAAAAAUAAUAGAUCUGAAGAAUAUUCAAUAUCAAAAUACAAAGACUUUUGCGGUUUUAGAGCUGUAUAUUAUUUUACAUAUAGGCAUUAAAUAAGGAACCCAGUGGUACAUGUAUAGAUUUUGGCUAAUUAGAUUAUAACAAAUUAUUAUAAAAUGCUCUGAUAUGUAUGCUCUGAUACAUAUGUAUGCUAUGUAAAAAUUUUGUAAAAUUUGUAGAGGUACACAUUUCUGAUCAAAUCUCUCCAUAUAAAGGUAUAUUAGAUGUUUAUUCUCUGGUAAUCUAAAGGGUAUUUAGGAUAUUUCUAUACUGAGUCAUUCACAUUUA